AGUGGGUAUUCAUGAAAAUACAGCAAACUCUCUUUCCAGAGUCUGGACUGUACUGAGAAACUGCUAGUACCGAUCAAUCCUAGAGAAAUUUUGAUUGCAGCACUUGGUCCUCGGCAACUGCCAACUUUUCCUGAUGUGAAUGUAAAGAUAAAAGGAGGUAACAUAGACCAUCAGCAUGCUGCAAACGUUCUGAAAAAGUCAAAAAGCUUUGAAGUACAACAUUCCAAGGAUCGGCCAUUAUCAGCUCGAGAAAGGAGAAGAUUAAAGCAAUCCCAAGAGGACAUGCUUUCUUCUGGGCCUUCUAUAAGACAAAUGUCUUAUAAUGCAUCAACAGAAACAAAACUUCCAAAGGAAGACAGUUCUAUUCAGAUUGCUCAGUUUACUUCAGAAUCCAGCACUGGUAAGAAGAAAAGCUUAACUGGUUGUUGCACUGAGGAUGAACUGAGCUCUUCUGCAAGCUCCACAGAAAAAUCAGAUGGAGAUUAUAAAGAAAAGUAGGUGUUUUCUGUCCAUAGUUAUGUGUGGUUUACACAUGUUAAUCACAUAUAUAGUUU
This 554-nucleotide long non-coding RNA is filed under the name Naja naja (Indian cobra). Its description in RNAcentral is "lncRNA (ENSNNAG00000001618.1)". Lineage: Eukaryota; Metazoa; Chordata; Lepidosauria; Squamata; Elapidae. The record is from RNAcentral.